GGCUGCACACCGAGAGGAGGUAGAAUGGCUGGCAGAAUGGUGUGAGCACAACAACUUGAGUCUCAAUGUGGACAAGAGACAAGUAAGGGUGCCUUCAGGGCAAAUUUGUUGCACAGCAGCUCAAUGAAUAUGAUAAAAUAUUCCUGUUUCAGCCUACUACAGCUGAGAAUCACAACUGUAUCCAAGAUCUAUUCUCAGUGACAGUACUGGAAGAUGUUGGAAUGUCUCCCACGUUACAUGCAUAAAAAAGGCUGAGAGGAAUACACGUCAAAUGCAGGGAAAUGGGACUAGCUCAGACAGCCAUCUUGAACAGCAUGGAUGCUGACCGAUCUGAUCUUUGAACAGCAUUUUCUGAGAGCAAGGUUAUGGAGCUCUGGCUCAAUAAUAAGGAAGAGUUACUUGGACAAUCAGUACUGUUGAACUGUUGGCAAAGAAAGUUGUGUGGGGAGAGGGGUUGUGACUUCAGUAUACAGCAUAAGCCUAUGAAAGAUGGUUCCUAUUAUCUUGCACAAGGCCAGUGAACUGCAGACACCAUAGAUCACACAGUGGAUGCAGGUAAGGGUAAAUCCAGCAAGAGAAAUAACUUGGAGUGGAUAUUUUGAGGAAUGCAGUGAUAGAUACUAGUGACCCAGACAUCUUCAUCUGAAAAUAGAAAUACCAGAGGGAAUUAUGUACAGUGAAUGGUAAAUGCUCACUCAGUAUAAAAUGCACACCUCAAAAUAAGCAACACACACAAAAUGCUGGUGGAACGCAGCAGGCCAGGCAGGGCGAAGCGUCUC
Molecule: long non-coding RNA, 779 nt
Organism: Hypanus sabinus (Atlantic stingray)
Lineage: Eukaryota; Metazoa; Chordata; Chondrichthyes; Myliobatiformes; Dasyatidae
Exons: 4
Source: RefSeq, a predicted model, not a curated record